RNAcentral lists this unclassified non-coding RNA (204 nucleotides) under Hevea brasiliensis (rubber tree). The record is from RNAcentral. Lineage: Eukaryota; Viridiplantae; Streptophyta; Magnoliopsida; Malpighiales; Euphorbiaceae.
GCAGAUUCUGGCAAUUACUGCUGUCUGUUCAUCCUCUGGCAACUAAAUUAAAAUAUUCAGUGGGAUGAAUUUCUUCAUACAAUGUUUUCUUCAUAUGUAAAUUUCGGGGACUAAGUCAUGAGCUUUGUAGCAUUUUAUUUCAUUUCAUUAGGAUACACACUUUUAUCUCUCUUGAUUUCACUUGUCAAGCCAAAUACAUGGGCG